UACGUAGGGUGCAAGCGUUGUCCGGAAUUAUUGGGCGUAAAGAGCUCGUAGGCGGUUUGUCGCGUCUGCUGUGAAAACUCGGGGCUUAACCCCGGGCCUGCAGUGGGUACGAGCAGACUAGAGUGUUGCAGGGGAGACUGGAAUUCCUGGUGUAGCGGUGAAAUGCGCAGAUAUCAGGAGGAACACCGGUGGCGAAGGCGGGUCUCUGGGCAACAACUGACGCUGAGGAGCGAAAGCGUGGGGAGCGAACAGG
RNAcentral lists this ribosomal RNA (253 nucleotides) under uncultured bacterium. RNAcentral's name for it is "partial 16S ribosomal RNA". It matches the Rfam family "Bacterial small subunit ribosomal RNA", at positions 524 to 776 of the family's 1533-position model. The record is from RNAcentral.